GCUGGGGUAGCUCAACGGUAGAGCAAUGACUUCGUAAGUCAGAGGUUCCGGGUUCAAAUCCCGGUCCCAGCU
This 72-nucleotide transfer RNA is filed under the name bacterium CG1_02_42_9. Its description in RNAcentral is "tRNA-Thr". It matches the Rfam family "tRNA". From Rfam's summary of the family: Transfer RNA (tRNA) molecules are approximately 80 nucleotides in length. Their secondary structure includes four short double-helical elements and three loops (D, anti-codon, and T loops). Further hydrogen bonds mediate the characteristic L-shaped molecular structure. tRNAs have two regions of fundamental functional importance: the anti-codon, which is responsible for specific mRNA codon recognition, and the 3' end, to which the tRNAs corresponding amino acid is attached (by aminoacyl-tRNA synthetases). tRNAs cope with the degeneracy of the genetic code in two manners: having more than one tRNA (with a specific anti-codon) for a particular amino acid; and 'wobble' base-pairing, i.e. permitting non-standard base-pairing at the 3rd anti-codon position. The record is from RNAcentral. RNAcentral also lists the same sequence under 2 other names.